GACGAACGCUGGCGGCGUGCUUAACACAUGCAAGUCGAACGAUGAUGCCCUGCUUGCAGGGUGGAUUAGUGGCGAACGGGUGAGUAACACGUGGGUGAUCUGCCCCGCACUUCGGGAUAAGCCUGGGAAACUGGGUCUAAUACCGGAUACGACCCCCUGGUAGGUCAGGGGGUGGAAAGAUUUUAUCGGUGUGGGAUGAGCCUGCGGCCUAUCAGCUUGUUGGUGGGGUAAUGGCCUACCAAGGCGUCGACGGGUAGCCGGCCUGAGAGGGUGAUCGGCCACAUUGGGACUGAGACACGGCCCAGACUCCUACGGGAGGCAGCAGUGGGGAAUAUUGCACAAUGGGCGCAAGCCUGAUGCAGCGACGCCGCGUGGGGGAUGACGGCCUUCGGGUUGUAAACUCCUUUCGACAGGGACGAAGCUUAUGUGACGGUACCUGUAGAAGAAGCACCGGCUAACUACGUGCCAGCAGCCGCGGUAAU
RNAcentral lists this ribosomal RNA (482 nucleotides) under uncultured bacterium. RNAcentral's name for it is "bacterial SSU rRNA". It matches the Rfam family "Bacterial small subunit ribosomal RNA", at positions 28 to 524 of the family's 1533-position model. The record is from RNAcentral.